This 516-nucleotide long non-coding RNA is filed under the name Rattus norvegicus (Norway rat). Its description in RNAcentral is "long non-coding RNA NONRATT022051". Lineage: Eukaryota; Metazoa; Chordata; Mammalia; Rodentia; Muridae. The record is from RNAcentral.
UUUCCUGUUUCCUGUCCAUAAACUGCCUAUCCCAUCUCCCUACCCCUUCUUCUGUGAGAGUAUUACCUCUCUCACCCACGCACACUUUCCCAGCUCCCCUCCCUGACAUAUCCCUAUAUAGGAGAUGAAGACUUGGCAAGACCAAGGGCUUUUCCUCCCGUUUUUGACCAACAAGAUCAUCCUGGCUACAUAUGCAGCUGGAGCCAUGGUUCUGUCUAUGUGUGCUCUUUGUUGGAUGGUGGUUUAGCCCCAGGGAACUCUGGUUGGUUGGUUGGUAUUGUUGUUCUUAUGGGGAUGCAAGCCCUGUAAGCUCUUUCGAUUUUUUUUUUAAUCCCGCAAUGGGGACCCUGUUUUCAGUUCAAGUGUCCACAUCUGUAUUUGUCAUGCUCUGGCAGAGUCCCUCAGGAGAUAGCUAUAUCUGGCUCAUAUCAGCAUGUACUUCUUGGUAUCAACAAUAUUGUCUGGGCUUGGUGGAUGUAUGUAUGUAUAUGGCCUGGAUCCCCAGGUGAGGCCGUC